Non-coding RNA from Schistosoma mattheei, 45 nucleotides. Lineage: Eukaryota; Metazoa; Platyhelminthes; Trematoda; Strigeidida; Schistosomatidae. The record is from Rfam.
AUCAAGCUGACGAGUUCCAAAUAAGACGAAAUGCGCGUCCUGGAU